This 253-nucleotide ribosomal RNA is filed under the name uncultured bacterium. RNAcentral describes it as "partial 16S ribosomal RNA". It matches the Rfam family "Bacterial small subunit ribosomal RNA", at positions 524 to 776 of the family's 1533-position model. The record is from RNAcentral.
UACGAAGGGGGCGAGCGUUGUUCGGAAUUACUGGGCUUAAAGCGUGCGUAGGCGGAUAUACAAGUCAGAAGUGAAAUCCCAGGGCUUAACCCUGGAAUUGCUUUUGAAACUGUAUGUCUAGAAUCCGGUAGAGGUUAAUGGAAUAUCCAGUGUAGAGGUGAAAUUCGCAGAUAUUGGAUGGAACACCAGUGGCGAAGGCGAUUAACUGGGCCGGUAUUGACGCUGAGGUACGAAAGCGUGGGGAGCAAACAGG